UAGACGGCGGGUCGGUUCCUUUUUUUUGCGUUCUCGACAAGACGUGUUUAAAAAUAAUUUAACGAGUGAAUUCGUGACAAAAAAACUUCGUAGUAAUCGGACUUGACUUUCCUCUGCCCAAGGAAAAAACCGUCGCGCUAAGAAAAAUUUCAGAUCGAGCGUUAUAUCAGAAGUGUUAAGUGGUAAUUUGUUGGCCUUUCGGUUUUGCGUGUGAAUAAAGGCUAGAUAAAAAGUGCGUAAAAGGUCCACAUGUACGCGUUACCAAUGACGGCAAUUUAGUGAAUGGGCCACACACAAGUAAGCCUUGGACCACGGUAAAGAAAGGGCGCCAUCAGAAUUUGCGUUUGGUUCUCGCAUUUGGAUCAUCAUUGAACGCGGGCGAAAUAUGAUAUUUUGAUUAAAUUUUUAUUUAUAUUAAAGGAGAGUUUAUUAUAAAGUGUGAAUUUUUAACUUUGCACUAGUAAUGUAGAUAUGAAUAUUGAACAUUUGUGAUUGAAAAAAGUCUAAAAAGAAUUAAAUCUUUAAAAUAAUAUAUAAAUACAAAUAUGUUCAGUUUAGCAAAAAUUAGCAAUUGUGCAAUUUCAACACCAUCAAUAAAAAGAUAUUUGGCAGAAUAACGAGCGCCGCCCUCAAGUAGUGAUCAUAGUGUGAGCGCAGCAUUAUGAUCUGAAUAUUCGUAAGUAUGCAACUCUGUUUUUCAUACAUUUCGCAAAAUAUUCUACAGCAACAAGUGGGCGAAUUGCACGCAAAAAUAUAAAGGUUCCGUUGUUGUGCAAUCAACAUCAACUAAUUGUUCAAUAUGUUCGCAUUGACACGUACUGCUUCAAACGCCCCUAAGCGGCUGUGCGUUGUAAGCAGGAUUUGCCGAAGCGAUUAUGCCGCUUUGGAACCAAUCAUCUGCCGUGAAAUCAUGGAAUUGCACCAUCAGAAGCAUUAUCAACAUAUGUGCACAACUUGAAUGCUGCCAAGGAGCAGUUUGCUGAAGCACAGAAAAAACUGAAGUGGCUACGACCAUCCCAUGUUGAAGCUAUCUGGGAUAUCGCCAACUGGAAGGAUAUCGUUAAUCACCUCGUUGCCGCUGCUAAGAGAUGUUUGUGUCAUCUAAGCUUUAAGUGACCUAGAGAAGCCUGUUCGAAUUUGUGGGACGAAUGUUGGGCAAAGCAAAGCUGAUGAGUGAUAUUUUUAAAUAAAUAAUUUAACUACAACACAUUCUGCGUUUGUGAUAAUCAACGAAAAGAUGCGAAAUUUGAACAUUCAGUUACUACAACACUAUUGGAGAAAUAUUAUAAAAAAUUAAUCCAUGUUGGUUCUUGCUUACUUUGUGAUAUGUAAUGCACACGAUUCGUGCAUUCUUCGUACAGCUAUUAUUAGAAUAAAAUUACUUUAAACGAAUUUGUAUUGUACGUAGUAAUUAGAGCUAACUUACGCGCUUUAUGAAAGAAUUAUAGAAAUUAUUCCAUGUUAGUUUUUGCUUACAAGGUAAGCAAGGGGAAGAAAGUUCUGUAUACAUAAGAUGAAAUUGCUUUAUGUUUUUUUUUGUUUUGCUCCUAAAACUGCAACACUUAUGUUGAAGAUUUGUUAUUAUAAAUUAUGUCAUGUAUAUCGGCGUG
Anastrepha obliqua is the source of this 1610-nucleotide long non-coding RNA. RefSeq lists it as uncharacterized. The record is from RefSeq and is a predicted model, not a curated record. NCBI's taxonomy places the organism in Eukaryota, Metazoa, Arthropoda, Insecta, Diptera, Tephritidae. The transcript has 4 exons.